This 465-nucleotide ribosomal RNA is filed under the name uncultured bacterium. RNAcentral's name for it is "bacterial SSU rRNA". It matches the Rfam family "Bacterial small subunit ribosomal RNA", at positions 28 to 476 of the family's 1533-position model. The record is from RNAcentral.
GACGAACGCUGGCGGCGUGCCUAAUACAUGCAAGUCGAGCGGAUCUUUGGGAGCUUGCUCCCAAAGAUUAGCGGCGGACGGGUGAGUAACACGUGGGCAACCUGCCUAUAAGACUGGGAUAACUUCGGGAAACCGGAGCUAAUACCGGAUCAUUCAUAUCUACUCAUGUAGGUAUGCUAAAAGACGGUUUACGCUGUCACUUAUAGAUGGGCCCGCGGCGCAUUAGCUAGUUGGUGAGGUAACGGCUCACCAAGGCAACGAUGCGUAGCCGACCUGAGAGGGUGAUCGGCCACACUGGGACUGAGACACGGCCCAGACUCCUACGGGAGGCAGCAGUAGGGAAUCUUCCGCAAUGGACGAAAGUCUGACGGAGCAACGCCGCGUGAGUGAUGAAGGUUUUCGGAUCGUAAAACUCUGUUGUUAGGGAAGAACAAGUACCAGAGUAACUGCUGGUACCUUGACGGU